This 465-nucleotide ribosomal RNA is filed under the name uncultured bacterium. RNAcentral describes it as "partial 16S ribosomal RNA". It matches the Rfam family "Bacterial small subunit ribosomal RNA", at positions 338 to 795 of the family's 1533-position model. The record is from RNAcentral.
CCUACGGGUGGCAGCAGUGGGGAAUAUUGCGCAAUGGGCGAAAGCCUGACGCAGCGACGCCGCGUGAGGGAUGAAGGUCUUCGGAUCGUAAACCUCUGUCAGCAGGGAAGAACGGUCACUGUGCUAAUCAGCAGUGAAUUGACGGUACCUGCAAAGGAAGCACCGGCUAACUCCGUGCCAGCAGCCGCGGUAAUACGGAGGGUGCGAGCGUUAAGCGGAAUUACUGGGCGUAAAGCGCUCGUAGGCGGUAGGUCAAGUCAAGGGGGAAAUCCCCGCGCUCAACGUGGGAACUGCCUUUGAAACUGGCAAACUGGAGUGUGUGAGAGGAUAGUGGAAUUCCAGGUGUAGGGGUGAAAUCCGUAGAUAUCUGGAGGAACAUCAGUGGCGAAGGCGACUAUCUGGCACAUAACUGACGCUGAGGAGCGAAAGCGUGGGUAGCAAACAGGAUUAGAUACCCGAGUAGUC